This 1000-nucleotide ribosomal RNA is filed under the name Bacillus sp. (in: firmicutes). RNAcentral's name for it is "bacterial SSU rRNA". It matches the Rfam family "Bacterial small subunit ribosomal RNA", at positions 40 to 1023 of the family's 1533-position model. Lineage: Bacteria; Bacillati; Bacillota; Bacilli; Caryophanales; Bacillaceae. The record is from RNAcentral.
AGAUGCGGUCUAUCAUGCAAGUCGAGCGGAUCUUCAUUAGCUUGCUUUUGAAGAUCAGCGGCGGACGGGUGAGUAACACGUGGGCAACCUGCCUGUAAGACUGGGAUAACUUCGGGAAACCGGAGCUAAUACCGGAUAAUCCUUUCCCUCACAUGAGGGAAAGCUGAAAGACGGUUUCGGCUGUCACUUACAGAUGGGCCCGCGGCGCAUUAGCUAGUUGGUGAGGUAACGGCUCACCAAGGCAACGAUGCGUAGCCGACCUGAGAGGGUGAUCGGCCACACUGGGACUGAGACACGGCCCAGACUCCUACGGGAGGCAGCAGUAGGGAAUCUUCCGCAAUGGACGAAAGUCUGACGGAGCAACGCCGCGUGAACGAUGAAGGCUUUCGGGUCGUAAAGUUCUGUUGUCAGGGAAGAACAAGUACCGGAGUAACUGCCGGUACCUUGACGGUACCUGACCAGAAAGCCACGGCUAACUACGUGCCAGCAGCCGCGGUAAUACGUAGGUGGCAAGCGUUGUCCGGAAUUAUUGGGCGUAAAGCGCGCGCAGGCGGUUCCUUAAGUCUGAUGUGAAAGCCCCCGGCUCAACCGGGGAGGGUCAUUGGAAACUGGGGAACUUGAGUGCAGAAGAGGAGAGCGGAAUUCCACGUGUAGCGGUGAAAUGCGUAGAGAUGUGGAGGAACACCAGUGGCGAAGGCGGCUCUCUGGUCUGUAACUGACGCUGAGGCGCGAAAGCGUGGGGAGCGAACAGGAUUAGAUACCCUGGUAGUCCACGCCGUACACGAUGAGUGCUAAGUGUUAGAGGGUUUCCGCCCUUUAGUGCUGCAGCAAACGCAUUAAGCACUCCGCCUGGGGAGUACGGCCGCAAGGCUGAAACUCAAAGGAAUUGACGGGGGCCCGCACAAGCGGUGGAGCAUGUGGUUUAAUUCGAAGCAACGCGAAGAACCUUACCAGGUCUUGACAUCCUCUGACAACCCUAGAGAUAGGGCGUUCCCCUUCG